Molecule: long non-coding RNA, 1165 nt
Organism: Daphnia magna
Lineage: Eukaryota; Metazoa; Arthropoda; Branchiopoda; Diplostraca; Daphniidae
Exons: 2
Source: RefSeq, a predicted model, not a curated record
AAUACGUGUGUGUGAAGCACAUAUUCAGUACUAAAAUGGAAAAAAAGCUGAAAAAUUCGUUUAAUACGUACGCCAUGACCCUAGCGGUUAAGACCGAGCAUCGCCCACUGGAUUUCUCUCAGCCUUCUGCAGGUGAUAUCGGCCUUUAAUUUGUAGUCUGUAGAAUGAUCUACGAAAAGUUCGGUGUGUACCUACUGUUACGAAAUGUCAAAUAAAUAUUGUAUUAGUUGUAAAAUUGACCGCUUGAAUGCGCGGGCAUGCGCUCAGCGCAAAUAUUAUUCCCUACCUUGACCUGUUUGGCCCCUCCCAUGACCUCCCCUGCCCUUUCUGCAUUGUAUAAAAGGCGCCCCCUGCAGUUUUGGCGCCAGUUGCCGUUGGAGAGUUGCCAGUGAUAGAGCGACGACUGGAAUAGCCUAUGUUUUGGUAAUUAGUGCUGUGCCAGUGUUGCGGCAAUACAAAUUUUGUUAUUCGUACUUGUUUUUCGUUGUGCUUCAUUACAUUUGGUGUCAGAAGUGGGAUCUGACGAAGAAAAGCUGUUCACCACGUGCCGUCGAGACGAUUCAACUUUAAUUUCAACAUGGAAAAAAGACUGGUGAGCAAUCACGGAGUAGGAGGGAAAGAGAAAAAGAAGAGGAAGCUAUCAGAAGGACAAAAGAGACGGCGCAAUCGCUAUAAUUACGAAAAAGAAAGAAAAAAACGUGAAGCCGCCGCAACCGCCGCAUUGACCUCUUCAAUUCCAGACGCUCCUGAGAGGGCUGUAGUUUUCACGUCUGCCGAUAUCCCGCUUCGUCCCGUCGCAGCUGUUGGCCCGUCCGUCUCCCUCAACCCACCAGUAUCAGCUAGACCGCAUGCAAUUCCAGACAGCCAGAGAAGAUGUUGCGAAAACUGCCGAUCAAACAAUUUUCCGAGUGAAGAAGAAAGAGCCCGUAGAUUCGUGCAGCGAAGAAAAGAACAGGAAGAGGAAGAAGAAAUAGAGAGAAUGCGAAUGGAGAUUCAGUUUGUUGAUUGAUGUAUCUUCAUAAUUAUACCAGUUUGAAGCAAGUUAAAGAAAAAAGAGUUAAUACAAAGAAAGCCUCGUUGUCAUAAUCGACACGUCUUGUGUCUUAAAUAAACCAGUUACAGUGUAACUUAUCUCGUGGCCUAAUAAACCAGUUAUAAUGUAUAA